AGUGAACGCUGGCGGUAGGCCUAACACAUGCAAGUCGAACGGCAGCACAGUAAGAGCUUGCUCUUACGGGUGGCGAGUGGCGGACGGGUGAGGAAUACAUCGGACUCUACUUUUUCGUGGGGGAUAACGUAGGGAAACUUACGCUCAUACCGCAUACGACCUACGGGUGAAAGCAGGGGAUCUUCGGACCUUGCGCGAUUGAAUGCGCCGAUGUCGGAUUAGCUAGUUGGCGGGGUAAAGGCCCACCAAGGCGACGAUCCGUAGCUGGUCUGAGAGGAUGGUCGGCCACACUGGAACGGGGACACGGUCCAGGCGACUACGGGAGGCAGCAGUGGGGAAUAUUGGACAGUGGGCGCAAGCCUGAUCCAACCAGACCACGUGUGUGAAGGAGGCGUUCGGGUUGUAAAGCCCUUUUGUUGGGAAAGAAAAGCAGCAGGUUAAUACCCCGCUGUUCUGACGGUACCCAAAGAAUAAGCACCGGCUAACUUCGUG
RNAcentral lists this ribosomal RNA (492 nucleotides) under uncultured bacterium. Its description in RNAcentral is "partial 16S ribosomal RNA". It matches the Rfam family "Bacterial small subunit ribosomal RNA", at positions 29 to 507 of the family's 1533-position model. The record is from RNAcentral.